GGGCCCACGCGCGGCCCUGGGGUUUCAGGGAGCCCUUGUGCCUCCUGUGUCUCUACGUGACUUGGCACCCGGAUCCCAGGACACCUCUCCAGGCCAGAGCUGUGACUUUCUAGCUUGGGUUUCACGACAGAGCACCCAAGGCCCCUCCUCUACGCCGGCAUUUCGGCGCUGUGCUUUGGAAGGACUCCAGGCCAGCAGUGAAGGGCUCUUUGAUAAUAUCUGACGGGCGGGUAAGAAUUUUGGGCAGCAGCCAAGGUACACAUUGCCUGUAAUCGUUAACUCGGUCUGUAAACAGUUCAAACGGCACUGAAGAGGCCGUCAGUUAUUACAUUGGAGAGAAGCCUUUCAUGUGCCCGCGCAGGAGCCGGAGCCGCGCAGCGCCAGGCCCUGAGGAGCAGCUCUGGCUGCAGCGCGGCCUGGCCCUACAGCGGCCGCUGUGCUGAGCGCCUGACCUUCAAACCCUCGGCGCUGCAGCAACAACUCAAUCCUUACUUUCUUUUGUUCUGCACCUGGCUCAGCGGUGGAGCCCGGCGAGAUGGAGGGGGAAGGGAUCAGGCAGUGCUCCCCGGCACAGCUGGGAAGGUUCAGCAGGGCUGGCUCCUCCACCCCAAACCCAUCUCCUGCCUGCGGCUUUUCCCUGAUCAAGAAUGCUCUUUCUGACAUCAGUUGUCAAGGUUUUGACUUUCAAACCCAUUGUAAAGAGCUGGUGGUUGAGGAGGAGUACCCAGUGGCUGCAGUAAAGCGAUCUGGGCUCAGGAGAGCAAACUUCAGCAGAGCUGUCAGUGAGGGGUGUUUGAGAGUUUCCCCCAGCCCCAUGGGAAUCAUUUCGGUUGGAAAAGCACUCCAGGACCAUCAAGUCUAGCCUGAGCCUGACCCACAGCUGGCUCUGAAGUCCUUUCAGGGAGUUGCGAAGAGCGACAGAAGAGAUCCAGACUUCACCUAAUCCUGCACGUGUGAUAAUCAAAUAAACAUUGCUCUUGGGUUCA
This is a long non-coding RNA of Parus major (Great Tit), 986 nucleotides long. RefSeq lists it as uncharacterized. The record is from RefSeq and is a predicted model, not a curated record. The transcript has 3 exons. Lineage: Eukaryota; Metazoa; Chordata; Aves; Passeriformes; Paridae.